Poecilia latipinna (sailfin molly) is the source of this 777-nucleotide long non-coding RNA. RefSeq lists it as uncharacterized. Lineage: Eukaryota; Metazoa; Chordata; Actinopteri; Cyprinodontiformes; Poeciliidae. The record is from RefSeq and is a predicted model, not a curated record. The transcript has 2 exons.
GCGUCAUCCUGACCAUGGGCGGUGUUGGCGGGCGGUGCAAAAACGGACUGCCGGCCCAGGUCGGCUCACAGGGGAAGCACCGCAACACACAGAUUCUCCCACCUGCGCUGCGGAUCCCUGCAGGCCCUCUGCAGUUAUUAUCGGCAAACUGAGUUUACCCACGCAACAGCCCUGGAUUUUCUUCAAGUACCAAUCAAAGAAUCGUUUCAUGCUUUCGCUGCAUCACCUUUUGGCCAUUUUGGACAUUGACAGACCGGCUCUGUUUUGUAUGUUGAUAACCUAUAAGUUUAUCAACAUAUCCUGCAGCUAGCGGCAGAAAGUCAUAAGGUAUUUCAGCUUUUUGUGCAAAGCUGCCACUGCAAACUACAGCAUGCAGCCCUGAUGCAAACCGAGGCAAAGCGACGCUCCUACUUCACAUUCUGUGUUAAAGUCUGCAAGGCUGCAGCUAUAAUCUGCUUAUCCCAGCACAACUGCAAGGAUCGUGCUCUGCUGCCUUCAUGAUAUCCAAAGGGAUCGACCCUUUAACAUACUUGCUGCUUAGAAGAUUAACAAGUCGGCAUGGGAAGCCGUCCCGAGGGUCAGGCGUAUAAUCUGAGGACCUGUUGGAGAAACCGUGCAGUGGGCCGAGCUUCACAUCAAGCAGCGCAACAGUAACUUGGUGUCUUUGGCUCUGAGUCUAUGAAUCACAAAUAUAAUCCAUCUUUUUUUCCCCCCUUUCAGAAAUGUCCACAUAUAUUUCCACAAAGUCUAAAUAAAGAAAGAGCAUAUAUCAUUUCA